ACCAGGAUCCUGUGCUGUGUCCGGCACCCCUUGCUUUGUCUGGCUGUCUUUGCUCGGGUGUCCUGUGGACAGGAGGUGCACAGAAGCGAGCGAAACAGGACACUGCUCCUCUAAACUCCAGACAGCUUUGCAACGAAAAUGUUGCAGACUUGGAGGCUUGGCUGAUUUGGAGAAGGCUCCAGAGACUUCUACACUGUAAACUCCUGGGCAGAAGGCUGUGGAUGAAAUACUGCCGCACCUGGGGCUUUUUCAGACAUCAGCCCGUGCUACAGGAGAGAGAACAAAAGUUUCAAGCCACAUUAAAUGCUGCUGCUAGCUGGACUACAUUACCCUGUGUGAUCUCUCCAUGGUUUCACUCAAAACAAGGCUGCUUUACCAUUUUCUUUCAAAAUCUGUGAGAAGUUGCAGCUUUUCCCAGCUGGUGAGGCCUUAUUUCCUCUCUCUCUUGUUUUUUUCCCCAUUUGUACUUCACAGACUCCUACCAAGGGUGUCUGACACUUUGCCUUUCAGGGCAGCCUUCUAAUUGCCUGUGUAAGUGGAAAGUCAGAUGCCCAAUCCACAUCCCAGCAAAGGUGAUAAUCAGGGAGCUCCUCUGGCUUUGGCUGGCAACAGCUGCAGUCUGGGAAAGGGGAACCCAGGACAAAUGGGGGGUGGGGAGGUGACGGGAGUGGCAGGGAGUGUG
Molecule: long non-coding RNA, 682 nt
Organism: Parus major (Great Tit)
Lineage: Eukaryota; Metazoa; Chordata; Aves; Passeriformes; Paridae
Exons: 3
Source: RefSeq, a predicted model, not a curated record